This 87-nucleotide transfer RNA is filed under the name Desulfuromonadaceae bacterium. RNAcentral's name for it is "tRNA-Leu". It matches the Rfam family "tRNA". Rfam says of the family: Transfer RNA (tRNA) molecules are approximately 80 nucleotides in length. Their secondary structure includes four short double-helical elements and three loops (D, anti-codon, and T loops). RNAcentral also lists the same sequence under 1 other name. The record is from RNAcentral. Lineage: Bacteria; Pseudomonadati; Thermodesulfobacteriota; Desulfuromonadia; Desulfuromonadales; Desulfuromonadaceae.
GCCUGGGUGGUGGAAUUGGUAGACACUGGGGACUUAAAAUCCCCUGACGGAAACGUCGUGCGGGUUCGAUUCCCGCCCCAGGUACCA